RNAcentral lists this ribosomal RNA (253 nucleotides) under uncultured bacterium. RNAcentral's name for it is "partial 16S ribosomal RNA". It matches the Rfam family "Bacterial small subunit ribosomal RNA", at positions 524 to 776 of the family's 1533-position model. The record is from RNAcentral.
GACGAACCUUGCUAACGUUAUUCGGAAUUACUGGGCGUAAAGGGCUCGUAGGUGGCCAACUAAGUCAGACGUGAAAUCCCUCGGCUUAACCGGGGAACUGCGUCUGAUACUGGAUGGCUUGAGUUCGGGAGAGGGAUGCGGAAUUCCAGGUGUAGCGGUGAAAUGCGUAGAGAUCGGGAAGAAGGCCGGUGGCGAAGGCGGCUCUCUGGAACGUUCCUGACACUGAGGCACGAAAGCGUGGGGAGCAAACAGG